Molecule: long non-coding RNA, 3928 nt
Organism: Astatotilapia calliptera (eastern happy)
Lineage: Eukaryota; Metazoa; Chordata; Actinopteri; Cichliformes; Cichlidae
Source: Ensembl
AAAAUUAAAAGAAGAUAUCCAAAAGAUUUUCAAAUUAAAGGUUUCACAUACAUGUGCACAAUAGCUGUUUGAAAUACAUAUUUGGUGGCCUGAAACAGGCAGAGUCCAUAAUUACAGAGAAUCCAACGAUGACUUUCAUACCAGCUUUGAUGGAAGCUACGACUCCUGUCCCCCAUUAAUGUGACUGGAAAUGUCCUCAAACUGGGCAGCACUGGUGGAUCAUCUUUGUACGUCUGAUAAGAGAUGAAUGCAGAGUAAACAUGAGGCUGUAACUGAGGACAAUAACUGAUCAGUGUUAACUUAUUACUUUAUUCUGUCAUUAUUGUUCAUUACUGUCAGUUACAAUGACUGUAUGAAUUGUAAUGACACGACACUCGCAGUCACACAGGUCUGUUCAACAUCACAAACCGCUGGUUGUCCCUCUUCCUCUCCCUCACAGCUCGUCUUCCUCACUCUCAGGACUGUCCCUCUCUGUACUGCAACAGUGUCAGAAACCCACAUUUGAUUUUGUUGUUUAUUUAUCAUAUUUAAUUUUUCAUCUAAUGUCUUUUUGAUUAAUGUGUGAAUUAGGGUAAUUGAGGUCUAUCAAUGUCAAAAAUCUCACUGUAUGAUUUCAGUCAGUGUUUAAAUAAAUCCAACAGGAAAUGAGAUGUUUAUGUUAAAACAGUGGCAGUGUUUUCAAAUGAUGGCACAGUGAUUGUGCUUAGAAAUACUUUUUUUUUUUUUUUUUACAGGAAUAUUAUGUGAAAUACAUUUUUGAGAGAUCAAAAUGUUGUCAUUCAGGAGAAAAUCUUCCCUUUUAACAGGAUCCAUGAAAACAACCUGCUCUAGAUGAAACACCAGCACGAACAUUAACACACAAAUUCAGCAGGAAUCCCCUGAAUGUAUCUUCAUAUUUCACAAUACUCGCAGAAAGGGAGGAGUCUAUGACUGUAUCAUCACUCGUCAUUAGUUCUGGGCAAGCGCUCCAAGCCGGUCUGGAACUUUUCACUUCAACUUUUGUACCACUCCGAUCUGAUCAGGACCCAAAAACUGCACGUAAUGGAUGUAACAUCAGUCUGCAGGAAUCUACUGGUUGUCCUUUUUUCUUGAUCGUGACUGCAGGUGAGUUAAAGCGAGAAUCAGAUUUUUUUAUUCACACUAGAAUACCGCGUUACUCUGCAGCAGCCCACCUUCACAUCACAUAUCAGCCAAUGUCCUCCACUUUGUGCCAACUCGGUCAGCAGCCCGCUGUCACUGAACGUUUUUCAGCAUUGAGGCCAUUCGUGUGCAGCGCAACAAUAUCCAUAUCCAAUUCUUGAAACCCGUUUUAGUCGGCAUGGGUUGGCCCAACCAAAGUGUCAAGUGUCCUAUUUCGACGUUCGAGAAAAGGCGGAGGGAGAGGGCGAUGUCUGCUCGACGCCUGUUCAUGAAGCUUCUCUCUAAAACUAAACACGGUCCUUCUUCUCCUUCAAAGUCGUCUGGCUAUCGUCCUUAAACUUUCUAAUAACGUCUGAAUACCACCUCUGCGUUAUUUCUACCGUCUCUUUAACGACCGAGACAAAAUAAAAUGUUCUUAAACGAAAGAAUCCGUCAAAAGAAGUAGCGCGUGAACGCAACGCUGUCAAAGCCGAGCUCUACCGGAAACAAGUUCUUUUCCCCACCUCUUUGCCGAAAAGAAAAAAAAAAACACCUACUUCCUGCCCCAGUGAACCACAAAAUGAAUGUUACUUAUAUACACGCAGGUAUUUCUUGCUUGUGUUGGAUUAAAAUGACUGAAAAACUAACAUCUGUAUGUUUAUGCCGCUGUCUGUGUUACAUAAACUUAAACAAUAAUAAGUUCGUGCUUGUUUCUACAAAUAGGUCUCAUUUAAAAUAACUGUUGAAGCGGAUUUCGUGUGUGUAUGUGUACAUUGUUUUAUUGCAGGAAGCUUUAUUAAAGCCCCACUUUAUGUCUGUAAGUAUUAAAUGAAAUAAAUAAUUUACACUUCAAGUCACAUUGCUGUUUUUCCUAUUCAGAUUGAUUACACUGAAACAAACAGAUACCUUAUUUGCAGUUAAAAGAUCAGAAUGAUCUCACACAGCAGAAACAUUUCUUUUUCUUUCGGGCUCCGUUUUGUUAUGGAGAGAUGUGUAUUGUUUUUUUUUUUGUUUUUGUUUGUUUUUUUUUUUAACUUUGUGAGAGUAAUUUUGUGGUUUUUUUGGUGGCGACUCAUUCCGUUGGCAGAUGCAGAUGCGGUACCUUUUAAAGACAGUCUGGCGCGUUGGCAAUGAGCGAUACAGCAGCUGGAUCGAUCACGUGACUUUGUCUUAAAGCGACGCACGCUUCGAGACAGGCUUCGCUCUGUGAGCUUGAUACAUGCGUCGGUGCGUCAGUGUUGCAGGACCCAUCACUAGUCGAUCGCAGGUCAUGCAUAGAGCUGAUUCCCAGCUGCGCUGAGACCCAAAUAGUUUGCAGUGCGUGCCACGAUUGCAGUGUCGCUAAGCGGGGUGUGACGGGUUGCAGUGUUGUGUUAUUUUCACAACGUUUGUGUCGUAAGUCUCAUGUGCAGCUGGGAUAUCAGCAGGAUGUGUUGUAAGUCCUGUCUGGAAAUAACUGGGAAUUUGUAUGUCUAAUUAAUGUAAUAAAUACAUUAUCAAUUUAUAUCUUUGCCCCAUUUACUCAUCCUUUGUCCUCGGUUACACAACAACAACUACAACUAACUUAAUCUAAAUUAUUUAAUGUAUUUGGUAGACCAUAAAAACAGCAGAGCUGCAAAAACAAGUAGAUGUCAAAUAUUAAUAAAUACCAAUAACUAGAAAUGUGCAUAAAAGAGUUUUGCUGGGUGUUGUCAGUGUCAGUAGUGUGUAUGUAAUUUCUAUACAAUCCAUGCAAAGAAGCUGUCGUUAUUAACACAAAGUGGUGCUAAUAAAAUGGAAAGCACAAGUUUCUUAUAACACUAAAAUCUCAAAGUGCUUGACUUAUAUGUAUAAAUCAUUUUAUGUACUAUUAAACACUUUUAUUGUGAAAGCACGAAAACGGAAACUCUCACUGUAAUGAUCCUGUGUAAUCACCACACAGGUUUACAGCUGUUGGUUUUGGCUCUGUUGGUGUUUUUGCUUUGUUUUGUUUUUUGUUAUUGCUAACCCUUAAAGUUUGGAUUUGUUUGGCUGAAUUUUAAAUUCAUGUCAUGUUCUAAGAAUAUCUCCAACACAACAGGCUGAUAUGCAGCUCCAAACCAUGAUUGGCUGCUGUACAAGUGAAUGGUUUUAACUUUGACCUCUCUGCUCUGUGUUGUUUCCUCUUUCAGACCAGAAAAACAUUAUAGCUCAGUCUGGACAGAACGUCACUCUGACAUGUCGAGCUCCAAACAACAUCAUAGUUGUAAAAUGGAUCAGAGCUGAUCUGAAGUCAGGUUAUGUCCCUUUUUUUCCCCCAGGAUGAUCUGUUUGUUCCAGCCAACCAGCAUCAGACAGACUGUGAACGCUUACAGGCAAACAUCACACUCAUGAUCAGUGAUUCAUUUUUCUCUGAACUAUAAAUUAAAUACAUUUUACUUCAUGUAGUUGUUUGUUCUGAGUCACUUUAUAAGACCCUUUCUGACCUGUACAGUCUGUUGAUGGUGUUUGUCUCCUGCACUGUAAGUAAAGUUUCUUGACAUGAAUGUUGUUUCCUGUUGCUUCAUGAGUAAAACAGAACUGAAACAUAAUGUGAGCUGGAAUCAAUCCAUAGUUGGUUUGUGGUCAUUUUUCUUGCUUUUCACCACAAAAAAUGACCACACCGACCAGCCAAUCGGUGACAUCAGUUUACUACCUGCUCAGAUCGCUUGGAAACCCGGCCUAGCAGGUACUAAAAAAAUACCUGGUACCAGGUACUGAUGACCAUUCACACUCACAUUCACACCUCUGGGCGAUUGAGAAUCACCAGUGAACUUAACCCCACUGACUGCAUGUCUGUGGACUGUGGGAG